CCAUGCAGUCGAACGGCAGCACAGGAGCUUGCUCCUGAUGGCGAGUGGCGAACGGGUGAGUAAUAUAUCGGAACGUGUCCUGUAUUGGGGGAUAGCUAGGCGAAGGACGGAUUAAUACCGCAUACGAUCUACGGAUGAAAGCGGGGGACCUUCCGACCUCCCUUGCCUGGAUGGGCCGAUGGAUGUCUGAUUAGCUGGUGGGGUAAAGGCCUACCCAGGCGAGCAUCAAUCCGUGGCUGGACUGGAAGGAUGAUCACACUGGCAGUGACACACGGCCCAGACUCCUACGGGAGGCAGCAGUGGGGAAUUUUGGAUGAUGGGCGAAAGCCUGAUCCAUCAAUGCCGCGUGAGUGAAGAAGGCCUUCGGGUUGUAAAGCUCUUUUGUCCGGAAAGAAAUCCUUGUAUCUAAUACCUACUGGGGAUGACGGUACCUGAAGAAUAAGCACCGGCUAACUACGUGCCAGCAGCCGCGGUAAUACGUAGGGUGCGAGCGUUAAUCGGAAUUACUGGGCGUAAAGCGUGCGCAGGCGGUUGGGUAAGUCCGAUGUGAAAUCCCCGGGCUCAACCUGGGAGCUGCAUUGGAGACUGACUGGCUAGAGUGUGUCAGAGGGGAGGUAGAAUUCCACGUGUAGCAGUGAAAUGCGUACAUAUGUGGAGGAAUACCGAUGGCUAAGGCAGCCCCCUGGGAUAACACUGACUCUCAUGCACGAAAGCGUGGGAGCAAACAGGAUUAGAUACCCUGGUAGUCCACGCCCUAAACGAUGUCUACUAGUUGUUGGGUAUU
This 784-nucleotide ribosomal RNA is filed under the name Burkholderia sp. RNAcentral's name for it is "bacterial SSU rRNA". It matches the Rfam family "Bacterial small subunit ribosomal RNA", at positions 53 to 831 of the family's 1533-position model. The record is from RNAcentral. Lineage: Bacteria; Pseudomonadati; Pseudomonadota; Betaproteobacteria; Burkholderiales; Burkholderiaceae.